RNAcentral lists this long non-coding RNA (425 nucleotides) under Rattus norvegicus (Norway rat). RNAcentral's name for it is "long non-coding RNA NONRATT023932". Lineage: Eukaryota; Metazoa; Chordata; Mammalia; Rodentia; Muridae. The record is from RNAcentral.
UUGCUGGCCAGCCAGCCUGGGGAGGGAGCCUUCGGAAGAAGGUUGCGGCCAACCUGGGGCUGAAACGCGGCUGGGGAAUGUCUUCCCACAUCGAGAGGAACAGAGGAACGAGCUGGUCCUCUGGUCAGCUCCAGGCACCCGUCGGCCGCUGGGUCACCAGGGCCGCCAGAGGCCGCAGGCAGAUUGGCGCGAGGUGGAGACGGAGGCGGCGGCCUUAGUGGAGGAGCGCGCCGGCUGGGGCGCAGCGCCGGGCGUCGGGGUCUCCUUGACAGGCGCGGCGGGAGCUGGGGGCCGCUGGAAGUGGUAAAGCAGCUUCAUCUGCGUGUCGCUGGCUGCAUGCAGGGUCAGGAACUGCACCGCCUCCUGCAGGCACCACGAGUAACCCUCGCUGUAGUCCUGGUGCAGGCUCUUGGGGCCGGCGGCCG